Molecule: ribosomal RNA, 496 nt
Filed under: uncultured bacterium
Lineage: Bacteria
Description: partial 16S ribosomal RNA
Rfam family: Bacterial small subunit ribosomal RNA
Source: RNAcentral
AUGAACGCUGGCGGCGUGCCUAAUACAUGCAAGUCGAGCGAACGGACGAGAAGCUUGCUUCUCUGAUGUUAGCGGCGGACGGGUGAGUAACACGUGGAUAACCUACCUAUAAGACUGGGAUAACUUCGGGAAACCGGAGCUAAUACCGGAUAAUAUUUUGAACCGCAUGGUUCAAAAGUGAAAGAAGGUCUUGCUGUCACUUAUAGAUGGAUCCGCGCUGCAUUUGCUAGUUGGUAAGGUAACGGCUUACCAAGGCAACGAUGCAUAGCCGACCUGAGAGGGUGAUCGGCCACACUGGAACUGAGACACGGUCCAGACUCCUACGGGAGGCAGCAGUAGGGAAUCUUCCGCAAUGGGCGAAAGCCUGACGGAGCAACGCCGCGUGAGUGAUGAAGGUCUUCGGAUCGUAAAACUCUGUUAUUAGGGAAGAACAUAUGUGUAAGUAACUGUGCACAUCUUGACGGUACCUAAUCAGAAAGCCACGGCUAACUACGUG